This 772-nucleotide ribosomal RNA is filed under the name uncultured marine microorganism. RNAcentral's name for it is "bacterial SSU rRNA". It matches the Rfam family "Bacterial small subunit ribosomal RNA", at positions 8 to 777 of the family's 1533-position model. The record is from RNAcentral.
AGAGUUUGAUCAUGGCUCAGAUUGAACGCUGGCGGCAGGCCUAACACAUGCAAGUCGAACGGUAACAUUUCUAGCUUGCUAGAAGAUGACGAGUGGCGGACGGGUGAGUAAUGCUUGGGAACUUGCCUUUGCGAGGGGGAUAACAGUUGGAAACGACUGCUAAUACCGCAUAAUGUCUUCGGACCAAACGGGGCUUCGGCUCCGGCGCAAAGAGAGGCCCAAGUGAGAUUAGCUAGUUGGUAAGGUAACGGCUUACCAAGGCGACGAUCUCUAGCUGUUCUGAGAGGAAGAUCAGCCACACUGGGACUGAGACACGGCCCAGACUCCUACGGGAGGCAGCAGUGGGGAAUAUUGCACAAUGGGGGAAACCCUGAUGCAGCCAUGCCGCGUGUGUGAAGAAGGCCUUCGGGUUGUAAAGCACUUUCAGUUGUGAGGAAAAGUUAGUAGUUAAUACCUGCUAGCCGUGACGUUAACAACAGAAGAAGCACCGGCUAACUCCGUGCCAGCAGCCGCGGUAAUACGGAGGGUGCGAGCGUUAAUCGGAAUUACUGGGCGUAAAGCGCACGCAGGCGGUUUGUUAAGCUAGAUGUGAAAGCCCCGGGCUCAACCUAGGAUGGUCAUUUAGAACUGGCAGACUAGAGUCUUGGAGAGGGGAGUGGAAUUCCAGGUGUAGCGGUGAAAUGCGUAGAUAUCUGGAGGAGCAUCAGUGGCGAAGGCGACUCCCUGGCCAAAGACUGACGCUCAUGUGCGAAAGUGUGGGUAGCGAACAGGA